UUUUUUUUUUUUUUUUUUGGGGGGGGGUGUUCGUAGAACUUAAAUCAAGUUUUUAGGUGAAGUCUUGCAAUAGUAAUUUAUUUCUUCCAGCACUAGUAUGUAUCUUGACUCAUAGUUCCAGUAAGACCAAGAUCCCGGUAGCCCAAGUAUACCAUAUAUACAAACCCACACUGCAUAUAAAUGGAAGAAUGGGACGAAAACAGUCACCUAUACUAGUAUUCCUAGAAAAGCAACCUC
RNAcentral lists this long non-coding RNA (237 nucleotides) under Nicotiana benthamiana. RNAcentral describes it as "long non-coding RNA (NBEN_LNC001096)". The record is from RNAcentral. Lineage: Eukaryota; Viridiplantae; Streptophyta; Magnoliopsida; Solanales; Solanaceae.